GCAGCCUGGGUUAGCUCUUCCUUGACUCCCACACACCUCAGCCAACUCAUCACUGCCCUGAUCUAAGCCUCCCCUGCCACCCCAGCCUGAGGCCUCUAGAAAUCAGGAGACACCUGCACGGGUAGAUGACGGCUGUCACAAAGUGAACUCAGAGAAAAGGAGGGGGAAGCCUUGGCAUUCACCUUCCACUUCAGCUCUCAGCCCACUAAUUUGGGGCAGUGAUGGGAAUACAAGUGAGAGCUAUGUCACCCUCUAGCUACGCUACAGCUAUAGGGUGACAGAGAAGCUGUUUGCCAAGCAGAUGUAGUGUAAUCGGACAUCUAUGGCUUUGAACGGACCCCCAGCACCAUCACCUGCACCCAUGCCUCCUUCCUUGGGGGAACUGCUGCUCUGCCAUGUCAGUCACGUGAUUCUAAUGAGAUGCCAGUCACCCCCAGUAGCAGCAGUCCAGGUCUAGCCAAUAUUGUUCCUCAUUCACUUGGCUAUAGCGAUUCAUCCAAGCAUGGGCAUAGGACCAUGUCUGCCCAGUCAGAGUCCUUCCCUGGGAUUUUCUUCAGUCUGAGUGUGGUAGAUGGGGCUACAGAUGUAAACCUUCCCUGAUACUUGGAGAAGGCCCCUGUUCAGAAGAAACAAUGAAGCCAAGCAGAGACAUACAGAGUGUGCACAUAGGGAGAAAAAAAUCCUAAUGGCAUCAUGUGAAUCGCGCAAUCCAGUAGUAGCUGAAUUAAGCUACUACUCAAUUACAUGUGCUGGUAAAUCCCCAGUUACAUGUGCUAGACAGUAAAUCCUCUUCAAAAAAAAAAAAAGAUAAUUCAAAUUACAUUCCUGUUACUUGCAACCCAAGAGUCUUGAUAAAUACAAUGGGUUAGCCAUAGAGCCUGCUCUCACUACUCUCAGACAUAGAACAAGUUUUAGCUUUUGUUUUCUUGAGAUGGAGUCUCACUCUGUAGCCCAAGUGGAGUACAUGGUGCUAUCUCAGCUCACCGCAACCUCCGUCUUCCGGGUUCAAGCAAUUUUCGUGCCUCAGCCACCCAAGUAGCUGGGAUUACAGGUGUGUGCCAGUGUGCCAACACACCUGGCUAAUUUCUGUUUUUUUGUUUUUGUUUUUGAGAUGGAGUCUCACUCUUGUUGCCUGGGCUGGAGUGCAGUGACACGAUCUCGGCUCACUGCAAUCUCCGUCUUCUGGAUUCAAGCGAUUCUCCUGCCUCAGCCUCCUGAGUAGCUGGGAUUACAGGCACCUGCCACUAUGCCCAGCUAAUUUUUUCUAUUUUUAGUAGAGGCGGGGUUUCACCAUUUUAGUCAGGCUGGUCUUGAACUCCUGACCUUGUGAUUCGCCUGCCUCGGCCUCCCAAAGUACUAGGAUUACAGGCAUGAGCCACUGCACCCAGCCUAAUUUCUGUAUUUUUAGUAGAGACAGGGUUUCGCCAUGUUGGCCAGGCUGGUUUCAAACUCCUGGCCUCAAGCGAUCCACCUGCCUCGGCCUCCAAAAGUGCUGGACUUACAGGUGUGAGCCACUGCACCUGGCCAUAACAAGCUUUUUAAAUGGGCAGUAAGGGUCUUUUCUUGCCAAAUGGAACAGGAGGAGGGAGCAGGUAGGUCUAGUCAGGAGCCAGCAAUAGAAGGAACCAGUGGAGUUGGGGCCAAAAAAAAAAAAAA
Long non-coding RNA from Macaca fascicularis (crab-eating macaque), 1656 nucleotides. Lineage: Eukaryota; Metazoa; Chordata; Mammalia; Primates; Cercopithecidae. The record is from Ensembl.